GAUGAACGCUAGCGGCAGGCCUAACACAUGCAAGUCGAGGGGUAGCAGGAUUAAGCUUGCUUAAUUGCUGACGACCGGCGCACGGGUGCGUAACGCGUAUGCAACCUACCUUAUACUGGGGUAUAGCCCGGAGAAAUUCGGAUUAAUCCCCCAUAGUACUAUUUACCGCAUGGUAGAAUAGUUAAAGCAUUGCGGUAUAAGAUGGGCAUGCGUCCGAUUAGUUUGUUGGUGAGGUAACGGCUCACCAAGACUACGAUCGGUAGGGGAGUCUGAGAGGAUGACCCCCCACACUGGUACUGAGACACGGACCAGACUCCUACGGGAGGCAGCAGUAAGGAAUAUUGGUCAAUGGACGCAAGUCUGAACCAGCCAUGCCGCGUGCAGGAAGACGGUCCUCUGGAUUGUAAACUGCUUUUGUUAGGGAAGAAACCCUCGGAUGCGUUCGAGGCUGACGGUACCUAAAGAAUAAGGAUCGGCUAACUCCGUGCCAGCAGCCGCGG
This 500-nucleotide ribosomal RNA is filed under the name uncultured bacterium. RNAcentral describes it as "bacterial SSU rRNA". It matches the Rfam family "Bacterial small subunit ribosomal RNA", at positions 28 to 520 of the family's 1533-position model. The record is from RNAcentral.